This 3824-nucleotide unclassified non-coding RNA is filed under the name Harpegnathos saltator (Jerdon's jumping ant). RNAcentral describes it as "uncharacterized LOC105183323, transcript variant X4". Lineage: Eukaryota; Metazoa; Arthropoda; Insecta; Hymenoptera; Formicidae. The record is from RNAcentral.
AAGCUAGUAACAACAACGGUUGCCUACGGCAGAACGAAAUCAGAAACUUUACACAUGUUUUGUUAUUUUGUGUUAUCCAGGUUGCAUAAGAAAGAAUACAGAACGGUGAUGUCUUUAGCAAAAUAUCAAGCUACUUAUAAAUAAAGAUACUGAAAGAUUUAUCAACAAGUAACGAGAAUGAUCGAAAAGUCGUAUUUCAAAUUAUACUCAUCUCAAAAUUAAAAAUGUUUAACAACAGAACAUUUUUAUAUGUGUUGCUCAUUCUUCCAUUUUUUCUUUCGUAAUAUAGCUUGUAUACGUAAAAUGACAUUUUUUAAACACAUCUGAAAGAUUUAUCGUGUAAUGGUGGCCCGGAUUUUCCAGGUUGUGUCCUAUGAAGACGACAGAGAGGAAGUAUUAUUAUAUUAUUACCCCUCACAUUCGUACUUAUCGUUCUUAUGUACAUAUUUUUUGUAACCACAGCGUGCAAGAGAUCACAGAUUAUAACAGUGACAUAUUUAUAAUUAUGUAAAUAGAGUCACCACAUAUGAUACCGUGACAAACGCGAGUAUCCUUUGGGGAGAAUCAACAUAACAAAAUAUUUAUGAUAGAAUCAUUGAGAGACUUAUCAGCAAGCAAUAGAAGAAAUCAAAGAUUACUAUCAUCUUAAUAUUUUUAAUAAAGAAGAUUUCUAAUAAAGAGGAAAUAGUUUAUUAAAUAUGUUAUAUUAUCCGUACUCAUUAGUUACGUUUUACCUUUCUCUUUCGUAUCAUAAUUUAUUCAUACAAAUAUAAAACAAUAUUUUUACGAUACACUUAAAAUUUCGUCCCGCUAAGUUAUUUACAGAGGCUAAUUAUAGCGCAGAAAACGAGUGAAAUAACUGUACGAUAAUAAUGGUGAGAAAAAUUUCCCGACAAUCCUUUCUGACUAAAAUUUCUCGUAAUUCUGUAGUUACAACGUGCAGUGGUACAGAUAGCAUCUAUUCAAGUACAGAAGAUGAUACUGUUUCUCUUACAAGGAGGCACCAAGCUAUUCAGUUGGACUCGGUUCAGUUGGUCGGUGAUUUGUUCGUAUUUUUGGAAAAUGCUGCUAGCAUAAAAGAAUGUAUUUGCAUUAGAAUAUGAACAGAUCGCGGCUGUUCGUCGUUUAAGAAGGACCGUCGAAGACCCGAAUGAAAGAUGAUAUUUUUCAUUCAUCGGUUGAUCAGCCGUAUCUUACUUCACCGUUCUUUACUUUACGCACCAGUGCCUAAAGAUUGUCAACUGAUAGACUAAUGAAUUAGCAUUAAAAGAAAUCUUAAUUAAAUAUCAACAAGGAUUGAUUAAAUACAAAAAGCAUCUUACCGAUAGAGUCGCAGGAAUGAAAAUAACUGCUGAGAGAAAAAACGUGAGAGUGAAUAUAAGAUUCAGACAUUUUCACUAAGAGAUUUUUAUUUUUUAAUUAGUUUAAUCAAUUCAAUUACUUUAAUCUGGGCGCCUAACCGGCAACGAGUUGGUGGUAUUUCGGUGGUAUGUUGGUUUUCGAAGUUGGCGAACUGAUAUUUCUCCAAAAGCAUCAAACGUGACUUACAAACGCGCACGCGACAGACUGAAGCACGUGGUGUUGCAUUCGAAGAGGAAACGCUCUCGCCUGCGUCGCUCGUGACAGAAUCACCCCUCCAAACAAUGUGUGUAUGUAUUGUAUGGGAAAUAAACAUCUGCCAAACUUCUUUCAGUACUGUAUCGAUCGCUCAAUUACACAACCCUUUCCGUAAAAAGCGUGCUAAGUCUCUAGUAUCAUUUUCUCACGAUGGUAUUUUCUCUCCUAUUUCUUCUCGCGCAACGUUUGCAUCAAAUUGCUUGGUUCAUGUUAGGAUUUCAGUCGGAGGAUGCAGAAAUAAAAUAUUCAAUGAAGCAAUCGUGAGGAGGGGAUAAGCGAAAUUUUGCCGGGCUCUCCGUUUUCAUAAGUGUCUCGAUGAUCGCGGAAAGAUGAUCUGUGUCGAAUUAUUGCACAUCGACCUCAACCGGCUUCUAUUGCUCGCUGUCGGCUUAUGGCCUUACCAGCAAUCCAAGCUGGUCCAGUUACAAUUGAUCUUGCUCUUCAGCAUUUUAACAACCUUUAUUUUAUCUCAGUUAACGUCGAUCGUGACCUCGGAAUAUACGUCGGAACUCCUCAUCAAUGUUUCCUCUACUACGUUAUUUUACAUUACUUUCGUCAUCAAGUACAGCUCAUUCAGAGUUAAUAUAGAAACUAUGAGACAUCUACUGGAAUUACUUCAGCGCAUCUACAACGAGCUACGAGAUGAGAAUGAGAUUAAUAUCAUGAGGAAAUAUGGGCAGCUCUCGAAGCGGUACACGGCUGCAAUUAUGAUAAUUGCUACGUGUACCACUACGUCUAUAAUCGCGUACUUAUUUUGUCCGCUUAUUCUCGAUAUCAUGCGACCCUUAAAUGAGACUCGACCGCAACCCUCGUUGGAAUUCGAAUACUUCGUCAAUCAAAAGAAAUAUUUUUAUCUGAUCUUGCUGCAUGCAAUCACAGCUUUUAUAGUGGGUGGACUCGCGAUGAUAUCAACGGGUGCGAUACUCAUAGCAUUUCUGCAGCAUGCCUGCGGAAUGUUUCGAAUCUCCAGCUACCGUAUCGAGCACGCGAUGGCAAUCGGGACCGUACAAAGCGGCAACGUGGGAAAUAACAAUAGGAUGUACAAAGGUCUCAUUUACGCCAUAGACAUCCACCGCAAAGCCAUGCAGUUCUCCGAUAUGUCAAUAUCCAAAUUCAAGGUAUCGUUUUUCCUCUUAAUAAUCGCCGGUGUGAUCUGCGGAAGUCUUAAUUUAUUCCGAAUUUUUCAGACGAUGACAGCAGUGCACAGUAACGUCGGGAUGUUAUUAAUACCUCUGGCGUUCAUCGUUAUCCACUUAAUGUACAUGAUCAUAGGCAAUUAUGUCGCGCAGGAGAUCAUGGAUCACAAUAACCACGUAUUCGCCACUAUAUAUGACGUUCGGUGGUACGUGGCGCCUUUGAACAUACAGAAAAUGAUAUUAUUCUUAUUGCAAAGAAGUACCAAAGUCUUUACUCUGAAUAUCGGUGGGGUGAUCGUGGGAUCGUUAGAAAACGCCGCCACGGUAAGAAAAAUUGUACUAAAAAUAUUUUCAGCUUCUUCGGAUGGACUAAUUGAAACAAGAAACGCAUGUCGUCGCAGAUGGUCAGCACCUCGGUAUCUUACUUCACCUUUCUUUACUCUACGUGGGACAAACGCAAGAUCUAGCACAAAAUGGGAUGAACGUUAGCGAAAGAAGCUUAGGUAAGCACAAAUAAUAUUUUCCAUGUAUAUAAUCUGUAUGUAAUCUGACAUCUGAAAAUAGACCUCACGCGCGUGACCUGGACGCAUUUGCCAAGAAAAUACGAGGGCAUGUAGAAAACAGAUAUACAUGCACACAUGUAUCACAUGGCAAUUGUCUUAUAUGUGAAAUUAUAGUAGUUGAAUUUGUGAGUUGUACCGUUGGAAAGUUUAUAGGUAAGACGUUAAUGCGUUAGGCUGAAGGACCAUCCUCGAUUGAGACGAGUAACAGCAACGGUUACUUACGGCAGGACGAAAUCGGAAACUUUACUCACGUUUCGUUAUUUUGCGUAAUCCAGGUCGCAAGUAGAAUUACAGGGAGGCAGACGUCGUAGAAACGUAAGGAAGAAUACAAAACCACGAUGUCUUCAGCAAGCCAAAGGUUUCGACGUGACUGACAGGAACAUGUACCGAGGUAAGGGAUAUGGGAGGCGCUUCGCUGCGUGAUGGCAACUGCACCUGCGCGGCCCUUCGAUCAACAAGUAGUCUUGCUGGUAUCUUUUUAAUGAGAAAUAAACGUUCGUUGAAAUUA